GAUGAGGAACGCAGCGAAAUGCGAUAAGUAAUGUGAAUUGCAGAAUUCAGUGAAUCAUCGAAUCUUUGAACGCACCUUGCGCUCCUUGGUAUUCCGAGGAGCAUGCCUGUUUGAGUGUCAUUAAUAUAUCAACCUUCUCUUUUUUGAGUUGUUUGGAUGUGGGGGUUUGCUGGCCUCUUAAAUGAUUCAGCUCCCCUGAAAUGCAUUAGCAGAACAACCUGUUCAUUGGCGUGAUAAUUAUCUAUGCUAUUGAAUGUGAGGGCAGUUCAGCUUUCUAACCGUCCUUGGACAAUUCAUCAUUAAUGUGACCUCAAAUCAGGUAGGACUACCCGCUGAACUUAAGCAUAUCAAUAAGCGGAGGA
Molecule: unclassified non-coding RNA, 362 nt
Filed under: soil metagenome
Description: partial contains 5.8S ribosomal RNA, internal transcribed spacer 2, and large subunit ribosomal RNA
Rfam family: 5.8S ribosomal RNA (bases 1-120)
Source: RNAcentral